AUACGGAGGACGCGAGCGUUAUCCGGAUUCAUUGGGUUUAAAGGGUGCGCAGGCGGCCGUGCAAGUCAGCGGUGAAAGCCCGGGGCUCAACCCCGGAAGUGCCGUUGAUACUGCAUGGCUGGAAUGCGGUCGAGGCGGGCGGGACGGGGCGUGGAGCGGGGGAGAGCAUAGAAAUGCCACAGAACGCCGGUAGCGGAGGCACCGCGCCAGGCCUGGAUUGACGCUUGGGCACGAAAGCGUGGGGAUCGAACAGUAUUAGAUACCCUGGUAUCCCACGCCGUAAACGAUGGGCGCUCGUCGUCGGCGGCAGACAGUCGGCGGCCAAGCGAAAGCGAUAAGCGCCCCACCUGGGGAGUACGGUCGCAAGGCUGAAACUCAAAUGAAUUGACGGGG
This 393-nucleotide ribosomal RNA is filed under the name uncultured bacterium. RNAcentral's name for it is "partial 16S ribosomal RNA". It matches the Rfam family "Bacterial small subunit ribosomal RNA", at positions 523 to 918 of the family's 1533-position model. The record is from RNAcentral.